GGAUCCAGACUUUGAUCCUGGCUCAGGAUGAACGCUAGCUACAGGCUUAACACAUGCAAGUCGAGGGGCAGCAUGAAAGGAACUUCGGUUCUUUUUGAUGGCGACCGGCGCACGGGUGCGUAACGCGUAUCGAACCUGCCUCAUACUCGGGGAUAGCCUUGCGAAAGUAAGAUUAAUACCCGGCGGUCUCGGAUGGCCGCAUGACUAUCCGAGUGAAGAUUUAUCGGUAUGAGAUGGCGAUGCGUCCCAUUAGCUUGUUGGUGAGGUAACGGCUCACCAAGGCAUCGAUGGGUAGGGGUUCUGAGAGGAAGGUCCCCCACAUUGGAACUGAGACACGGUCCAAACUCCUACGGGAGGCAGCAGUGAGGAAUAUUGGUCAAUGGACGAAAGUCUGGACCAGCCAAGUAGCGUGCAGGAAGACGGCCCUCUGGGUUGUAAACUGCUUUUAGUUGGGAAUAAAAAGAGGGACGUGUCCCUUAUUGUAUGUACCAUCAGAAAAAGGACCGGCUAAUUCCGUGCCAGCAGCCGCGGUAAUACGGAAGGUCCAGGCGUUAUCCGGAUUUAUUGGGUUUAAAGGGAGCGCAGGCGGCGGCGUAAGUCAGUUGUGAAAUCGUGCGGCUUAACCGUGCAAUUGCAGUUGAUACUGCGUCGCUUGAGUGCACACAGGGAUGUUGGAAUUCAUGGUGUAGCGGUGAAAUGCUUAGAUAUCAUGAAGAACUCCGAUCGCGAAGGCAUAUGUCCGGAGUGCAACUGACGCUGAGGCUCGAAAGUGUGGGUAUCAAACAGGAUUAGAUACCCUGGUAGUCCACACAGUAAACGAUGAAUACUCGCGGUUGGUUCGUUAGAGUCAGCCGCCAAGCGAAAGCGUUAAGUAUUCCACCUGGGGAGUACGCCGGCAACGGUGCAACUCAAAUGAAUUGACGG
RNAcentral lists this ribosomal RNA (924 nucleotides) under uncultured Bacteroidota bacterium. RNAcentral's name for it is "bacterial SSU rRNA". It matches the Rfam family "Bacterial small subunit ribosomal RNA", at positions 1 to 916 of the family's 1533-position model. The record is from RNAcentral. Lineage: Bacteria; Pseudomonadati; Bacteroidota.